CUUAAAUUGAAGAGUUUGAUCAUGGCUCAGAUUGAACGCUGGCGGCAGGCCUAACACAUGCAAGUCGAGCGGUAGCACAAG
Molecule: ribosomal RNA, 81 nt
Filed under: Pectobacterium odoriferum
Lineage: Bacteria; Pseudomonadati; Pseudomonadota; Gammaproteobacteria; Enterobacterales; Pectobacteriaceae
Description: Pectobacterium carotovorum subsp. odoriferum partial 16S ribosomal RNA
Rfam family: Bacterial small subunit ribosomal RNA
Source: RNAcentral